RNAcentral lists this precursor RNA (433 nucleotides) under Thermococcus celer. The stretch from base 193 to 297 matches the Rfam family "Pab19 RNA". Lineage: Archaea; Methanobacteriati; Methanobacteriota; Thermococci; Thermococcales; Thermococcaceae. The record is from RNAcentral.
AGGAUAAGCGUGGUGCCGGAGAUGGUGAGGCUGUGAGCUUGCCACGUCCCAAGCCCAUGAGGUUUUGCCUUUUUUAUGUUAAAAAUUUCGAAAUUGGCCCGGGGUUUUUGAGGGUUUUCUUUUUCAAAAAGGGAAGCGCGGAACGUUUUUGCAAAAAUUUUUCACUGCGGGGGUUUCGGCCUAUUGGGUGGAGCGCCCGAACAGGGCGCGACGAAACCCGGGCGCCAUGACGGCGGCGUCGGGGGGACAGGGUGCAAAGUACCCAACCAUGAACCCCGCCCUCCAGCCCGGGUCACAAAAAGGUGCGCUCCCGAGGAAACGCCGAAAGGCGGACCCCUCGGGGGUAAGGCAGGCCCGACAUCCCGACUAAACCCCGGACGGAUAUUUGGUACUUCCCCUUGAGGGAAGUCCCACCGGCCGUACUCCUUGCUCA